CCGAGAACCUCAUCAUCACUUGUCCUCUCAGUGUGGAGGGUAAAGUGACGUGGAGCAGAGAGAUACAUAGAAGGAAAGUUGACUUACUUACAUCUUAUGGUGACGCAGAAAUACGACACAUCCGUGAUGCGGACAGGUACAGUUCAUUUGCAGAUGGGUUCCUGCUAAUUGUUGGCACUUCUGUGUCAGACUCUGGAACAUACCUGUGUAAUAAUCAAGCAGCUGUGGAGCUGACAGUCAUCCCAUCAGGAACAACAAGACGCAUCAUUUCAGAGAAGACGACGAGCACUCUGCACUGUCCUCAUGAUGCGGAAGAGUCGCAUGUCCCAGUAUGGAGCAGAAAACUCAGAGGACAGCAGCGACACAUCAGCCCUCACUCUUUCACUGUGGACCAGAUGUUGAUCAUUACAGAUGUUCAGCUUGGUGAUUCGGGACUGUACUACUGUGAUGGGAAACCUGCUGUUUAUCUGGAUGUGAUCAAAGAUGAGAGAUCUGAGAGAGGUAUCUUCUAUGAAGUAGCUGAGGUGAUGCAGAAGGUCGUUUUGACUUGUCCUCACAUCGUGGAGGGUAAAAUAACGUGGAGCAAAGAGAGGUAUGGAAUGGAAGUUGAUAUAUUCACAACCAGCAACGACAGAAGUGUAACAGACUUUAAUGAGCAUGAAGGCUACAACUCAUGGGUGGGGUCGCUGCUCAUUCGUAACACUUCCACCUCGGUAUCUGGAAGAUACUUCUGUGACAGGAAACCAGCCGUGGAACUGAUAGUCCCCCCAUCAGGAACAAGGAUACGUGUUGUGUCAGAGUGGACCAACACUGUUCUUACUUGUCCACAUGUUGAUGGAGGAUCAGAUGUUCAGACGUGGAGCAGAGAACUCAGAGGAGAACAACAGCACAUCUGGCCCAAUGCUUUCACUGUGAAUCACCUGCUGUUUAUCAACCAUGUUCAGCCUGCUGACUCUGGACUGUAUUACUGUGAUGGGAAACCAGCUGUCUAUCUGCACGUGACCACAGAGGAGCGCUCUGACAGAGGAGAGAAAAACAUACCCCCACCACCACCCCAACGAACAACAGCACCACCUGCAGGAGAAAACUCAAGUAUGACAACAAUAAAAAUACUGCCAGCUGCCAGUGCUACCCCUCAGACUUCCAGCAGACCCACCCGUGCUGCUGAUCACCUGUGGCACAUGACUGUCCGUACACUGAUUGGACUGCUCUGCUUAACCAUCAUGAUCAGCAUCACUGCUGUUACCUGGAGGAAAGCUCGACGGAUAGAGAAACAGAAGAGAGACACAGAAGCAGAAACCGGCCUGUGAUCCUCCAUCAUGCAGAAACAAGAGCCGUACAGACUGAAUUGGGAUCAGUUCAUCGUCAUCCAGUCACACAGCACACAGCCAUCCUGAACCUCAGAGUGACGACAGAUUGUUCAGCAUGUGAUCCAAACUUUCAGUGACCUUUGUCUCUCUCUCUUAUGUGUCGCAGACUAAACUGAGGUUAAACUGGAUAAAAGAAAAGAAAUUCAGUUAAUUGAAACUCAAAAGUAACAUAUUAAAGUACAUGUAAAGUAUUUGCUGCUCUGCCCUCUCAAUAUCCUGCAGCUCAACAGUUUCUGUCCCAUCACAGUCUAAUUUCUUUGUCUUUGCUCUUUCUGUUUCUGGAGCUGUGCUGUAUUUAGUCAACAGGCAUUAAAAACAUGUUAGAAGCUCAGUUUAGUUUUAGAUCUGUUACAUUCACUGCUUUCAAAUAGAGUGAGUCCAUUUUUGAUUUGUGUUGUUUGUGUCGAUGUUGUUUGAG
Oreochromis aureus is the source of this 1788-nucleotide long non-coding RNA. Lineage: Eukaryota; Metazoa; Chordata; Actinopteri; Cichliformes; Cichlidae. The record is from Ensembl.